This 1472-nucleotide long non-coding RNA is filed under the name Neogobius melanostomus (round goby). RNAcentral's name for it is "lncRNA (ENSNMLG00000019076.1)". The record is from RNAcentral. Lineage: Eukaryota; Metazoa; Chordata; Actinopteri; Gobiiformes; Gobiidae.
CACAGGUGUCAGCCCCCGAGACAAUCCAGCACAUAACUGCAAAACUGAAGGAAACCAAACGUGAGGCGCCUUCACCAAGUGGCUGCAUAGUGUACAGGAACAUCUGUGCAGGGUAUGGGCUGGAAACCCAAGGGAAACACCUCCAAAAAGGUGGAGAGAAUGACCCAGCCAUCUAAUCAUUCUUUAGCCCCGGGGGCGUGGUUUUAUGCAUUUCCUGACUAGAACCAGGAAGUAAUAAAGCUGCCUACAAAAAACGUGAAACAGAAUCAAAUUAUAUACAUUUAUUAAUUGAAAAUGCUGACAAACAAAAAGGAAAAACUAAAAUAUUGGAUACACUGAAUGCAAUAAGCACAAUGUUAUAUUGCUCAAGCAAAGAUUUAAAAAAAAAAGAUUAAGUAGCAUCACGGUUUUAUUCCAUAUAUUACAUAAGGCAAUGUUAAAAAAGGCACACACUUCAUUAGGUGUUUUGAGCCAAGGAGACUAUUUAAGUGUCCGGCAUAGCCUACUGGCAUCAUUAACAAGAUCCGUCGGCAGCGUUAUCAACAGGGCAGCUUCCCACAGCCCCUGGACAAAGAGUGACUCCUGUGCAUCAUCAGGAAGCACAGGUUACUACAGGUCAAACGCCUCGGACUCAUUUUACAUCAUACAUGAAGCCCGAAACAGUCAUGUCACGGAGCUUUUUCCAAGUCUACGGCCAAGUGUGUGCGUUAAAUCAGUGUUUCCCAACCAGGUGUACAUGAGGACUUGGAAAUAUGUCAGAUCUAAAGGUCAAACUAAACAGUAUUUCAGUAAUAUCUUAAAAUCUUCUUUUCAAUGAUAAUUUGCAGUGAAAUGUUUGAAUUGCAGAGUGUUUUUGCUUUACUUUUCAUUAACACAACACACAAAUAAUAAAUCUGAGUUAAGCCUCUACUUUUCUAAAUAACUGGCAGCACCUGAGAGUUAAGGGGUGCUUUGAGUAGAAAUGAAAGACUCAAGGGGCACACGACACAAAUAAGCUUGGGAACCACUGAGUUAAAUGAGUGGGAAACUUCAAUUUUUGUUUCAGCUAAGGUCUACAGGAUCUUGUUUACUAGGACGAUUCACACUCAAGUAAUAUGUUUACCUUAAAAUGUGUCCUGUGUCCAAAGUUUAUAAACCAAAUGCAUUGAAAAGUGCAUUAACACAAAAUGUAACAAAGUGCUGUGUAACUGCUCCUGGAAAACAAAGGAAUGCAGAAUAAAAAAUGCCUCCAAACACACGUAUUGAAAGUAUUGCGAUACUUGAUAAAGUCCCGAUAUUUUGUCCCAGCCCUAUUGUUUACUAGGGCUGGGACAAAAUAUCGGAUCGGACUUGGAUUGCAAUACUGUGUGCAGCAAUACCAAGUAUCGCAAUACUUUCAAUACUUGUGUUUGGAGGCAUUUUUUACUCAUACACUACUUUGUUUUCCGGUAACAGUUCUACAGCACUUGUGUUAAUGCACUUUUCAAUCUAAA